AUUGAACGCUGGCGGCAUGCCUAACACAUGCAAGUCGAACGGCAGCAUGGUCUAGCUUGCUAGACUGAUGGCGAGUGGCGGACGGGUGAGUAACGCGUAGGAAUAUGCCUUAAAAGAGGGGGAUAACUUGGGGAAACGUCAAGCUAAUACCGCAUAAGCUCUAAGGAGUAAAGACUGGGGACCUUCGGGCCUGGCGCUUUAAGAAUAGCCUGCGUACGAUUAGCUAGUUGGUGGGGUAAAGGACCUACCAAGGCGACGAUCGUUAGCUGGUCUGAGAGGACUGGCCAGCCACACUGGGACGUGAGACACGGCCCAGACUCCUACGGGAGGCGAGCAGUGGGGGAAUAUUGGACAAUGGGGGAACCCGUGAUCCAGCAAUGCGCGUGUGUGAAG
This 393-nucleotide ribosomal RNA is filed under the name uncultured bacterium. Its description in RNAcentral is "bacterial SSU rRNA". It matches the Rfam family "Bacterial small subunit ribosomal RNA", at positions 30 to 410 of the family's 1533-position model. The record is from RNAcentral.